This 507-nucleotide ribosomal RNA is filed under the name uncultured Pseudomonas sp. Its description in RNAcentral is "bacterial SSU rRNA". It matches the Rfam family "Bacterial small subunit ribosomal RNA", at positions 903 to 1382 of the family's 1533-position model. The record is from RNAcentral. Lineage: Bacteria; Pseudomonadati; Pseudomonadota; Gammaproteobacteria; Pseudomonadales; Pseudomonadaceae.
UGCGCCUUGCCAGCCCGCUCAGAAACUCAAAGGAAUUGACGGGGGCCCGCACAAGCGGAGGAGCAUGUGGUUUAAUUCGAUGAUACGCGAGGAACCUUACCUGGGCUCGAACGUAAGAUGACUGUAGGUGAAAGCUUACAUCUCUUCGGAGCAUUUUACGAGGUGCUGCAUGGUUGUCGUCAGCUCGUGCCGUGAGAUGUUGGGUUAAGUCCCGUAACGAGCGCAACCCUUGUCCUUAGUUACCAGCACGUUAUGGUGGGCACUCUAAGGAGACUGCCGGUGACAAACCGGAGGAAGGUGGGGAUGACGUCAAGUCAUCAUGGCCCUUACGGCCUGGGCUACACACGUGCUACAAUGGUCGGUACAAAGGGUUGCCAAGCCGCGAGGUGGAGCUAAUCCCAUAAAACCGAUCGUAGUCCGGAUCGCAGUCUGCAACUCGACUGCGUGAAGUCGGAAUCGCUAGUAAUCGUGAAUCAGAAUGUCACGGUGAAUACGUUCCCGGGCCUU